This 206-nucleotide ribosomal RNA is filed under the name uncultured bacterium. RNAcentral's name for it is "partial 16S ribosomal RNA". It matches the Rfam family "Bacterial small subunit ribosomal RNA", at positions 568 to 774 of the family's 1533-position model. The record is from RNAcentral.
UGCGUAGGCGGGUCUUUAAGUCAGGGGUGAAAUCCUGGGGCUCAACUCCAGAACUGCCUUUGAUACUGAAGAUCUUGAGUUCGGGAGAGGUGAGUGGAACUGCGAGUGUAGAGGUGAAAUUCGUAGAUAUUCGCAAGAACACCAGUGGCGAAGGCGGCUCACUGGCCCGAUACUGACGCUGAGGCACGAAAGCGUGGGAGCAAACA